CUAGCCAACACAAUGCAAUGUGUCUUGUCUGUGUGUGUCUCUAGCUAACCAACACAUCUAUGAUUAUUCUUAAUACUCAGUCAAAAACACUAGACACAUGUUUUAGUAUAAAUAAUGUAUUCAUAUUAUUGUUCGGAAAAUGACAUUCUUGUAUCUGUCAUUUAGAAGUUGACAUUAUUGCAUCGGUCAUAUUUAUUUGUUAUUGUGUAGCCUGCCUGUACUCAUAAUCCCAUUUUUAGAAACAUAUGUUGUACUCCCCCCCCCCUUUUCCAAAGGUUGUGUAGAAAUGAUUGCUAGGCUGUGCCCAGUAGUUCCUCUAGAAUACAAUGCUGUCUAGCACUGUUACACUCAUGUCUAGAUAAUAGCUACAUGGGAUGGGUUUCACUAUAAGUUGGUUUGUUAUUGCUAGGCUGUGCCCAGUAGUUCCUCUAGAAUACACUGCUGUCUAGCACUGUUACACUCAUGUCUAGAUAAUAGCUACAUGGGAUGGGUUUCACUAUAAGUUGGGAACAGUUCCAGGAAAAAGAAGGAGAGGCAGAUAAAAGAUGCAAUGGGGGACAACAUUAUGAACUGUACAGCCCUGUCUAUGGAAAAGCUGCUUAUUCUGGCAAAAGAAAGUAAUGGAGAGAAUUGACCAACAGUUCAUGGAUGCCCUAAAAAGACUGAAGGAUUACUGAAGACAUGCCUACCCCCAAGACCCAGAAUGUGGAACACUCAGGUUGAAAAUGUGAAAUUUUGGGCCCCAAUGUGGAACAUACACGCGGUUACGUUUGUCAGCCAUACUGUACGCAAUAAAGAAAAAGUCUUGAUUUUUGUGA
This is a long non-coding RNA of Biomphalaria glabrata, 818 nucleotides long. RefSeq lists it as uncharacterized. NCBI's taxonomy places the organism in Eukaryota, Metazoa, Mollusca, Gastropoda, Planorbidae. The record is from RefSeq and is a predicted model, not a curated record. The transcript is spliced from 3 exons.